RNAcentral lists this ribosomal RNA (497 nucleotides) under uncultured bacterium. Its description in RNAcentral is "partial 16S ribosomal RNA". It matches the Rfam family "Bacterial small subunit ribosomal RNA", at positions 28 to 507 of the family's 1533-position model. The record is from RNAcentral.
GAUGAACGCUGGCGGCGUGCCUAAUACAUGCAAGUCGAGCGGACGGACGCUAAGCUUGCUUCUCUGAUGUUAGCGGCGGACGGGUGAGUAACACGUGGAUCACCUACCUAUAAGACUGGUAUAACUUCGGGAAACCGUAGCUAAUACCGGAUAAUAUUUUGAACCGCAUGGUUCAAAAGUGAGAGACGGUCUUGCUGUCUCUUAUAGAUGGAUCCCCGCUGCAUUAGCUGGUUGGUAAGGUAACGGGUUACCAAGGCAACGAUGCAUAGCCGACCGGAGGGAGUGAUCGGCCACCCUGGAACUGAGACAGGGUCCAGACGCCUACGGGAGGCAGCAGAAGGCAAUCUGACGCAGUGGGCGAGAGCCUGACGGAGCAACGCCGCGCGAGUGAUGAAGGUCUUCGGAGCGUAAAACUCUGUUAUGAGGGAAGAACAUAUGUGUAAGUAACUGUGCACAUAUUGACGGUACCUAAUCAGAAAGCCACGGCUAACUACGUG